This 75-nucleotide transfer RNA is filed under the name Candidatus Altimarinota bacterium. Its description in RNAcentral is "tRNA-Glu". It matches the Rfam family "tRNA". Rfam says of the family: Transfer RNA (tRNA) molecules are approximately 80 nucleotides in length. Their secondary structure includes four short double-helical elements and three loops (D, anti-codon, and T loops). The record is from RNAcentral. Lineage: Bacteria; Candidatus Altimarinota.
GCGGCUAUCGUCUAGUGGUUAGGACCUCUGGUUUUCAUCCAGGUAACCGGAGUUCGAUUCUCCGUAGCCGUACCA